This 200-nucleotide ribosomal RNA is filed under the name uncultured Smithella sp. RNAcentral's name for it is "partial 16S ribosomal RNA". It matches the Rfam family "Bacterial small subunit ribosomal RNA", at positions 1182 to 1382 of the family's 1533-position model. Lineage: Bacteria; Pseudomonadati; Thermodesulfobacteriota; Syntrophia; Syntrophales; Smithellaceae. The record is from RNAcentral.
ACGUCAAGUCCUCAUGGCUUUAUGCUUAGGGCUACACACGUGCUACAAUGGGUGGUACAAAGAGAAGCCAACUCGCGAGAGCGCGCCAAUCUCAAAAAGCCAUCCUCAGUUCGGAUUGGAGUCUGCAACUCGACUCCAUGAAGUUGGAAUCGCUAGUAAUCGCGGAUCAGCAUGCCGCGGUGAAUACGUUCCCGGGCCUU